RNAcentral lists this unclassified non-coding RNA (349 nucleotides) under soil metagenome. RNAcentral describes it as "partial contains 5.8S ribosomal RNA, internal transcribed spacer 2, and large subunit ribosomal RNA". The stretch from base 1 to 120 matches the Rfam family "5.8S ribosomal RNA", at positions 35 to 154 of the family's 154-position model. The record is from RNAcentral.
GAUGAAGAACGUAGCGAAAUGCGAUAACUAGUGUGAAUUGCAGAAUUCCGUGAAUCAUCGAGUCUUUGAACGCACAUUGCGCCCCCUGGUAUUCCGGGGGGCAUGCCUGUCCGAGCGUCAUUGCUGCCCAUCAAGCACGGCUUGUGUGUUGGGUCGUCGUCCCCUCUCCGGGGGGGACGGGCCCCAAAGGCAGCGGCGGCACCGCGUCCGAUCCUCGAGCGUAUGGGGCUUUGUCACCCGCUCUGUAGGCCCGGCCGGAGCUUGCCGAACGCAAAUCAAUCUUUUUCCAGGUUGACCUCGGAUCAGGUAGGGAUACCCGCUGAACUUAAGCAUAUCAAUAAGCGGAGGA